This 189-nucleotide microRNA precursor is filed under the name Oryza barthii. RNAcentral's name for it is "MIR812 microRNA precursor family". It matches the Rfam family "MIR812 microRNA precursor family". The record is from Rfam by way of RNAcentral. Lineage: Eukaryota; Viridiplantae; Streptophyta; Magnoliopsida; Poales; Poaceae.
UUCAAGUGUAUUUGUGGUUUCUGUGUUCAAUAUUUAACCAUCUAUCUUAUAUAUUUUUUUUAUGGUUGGUAUUUUUAUUGUUAUUAGAUGAUGAAAUAUGAAUAUUACUUUAUGCAUGAUUUUUUUUUAUUUUUUCAUAUUUUUUUAAAUAAGACAGACGGUCAAACGUUGAAUACAAAUAUACUUAAA